UACGAAGGGGGCUAGCGUUGCUCGGAAUCACUGGGCGUAAAGCGCACGUAGGCGGAUUUGUAAGUCAGGGGUGAAAUCCCGGGGCUCAACCUCGGAACUGCCUUUGAUACUGCGAAUCUUGAGUCCGAUAGAGGUGGGUGGAAUUCCUAGUGUAGAGGUGAAAUUCGUAGAUAUUCGGAAGAACACCAGUGGCGAAGGCGACUCACUGGACACAUAUUGACGCUGAGGUGCGAAAGCGUGGGGAGCAAACAGG
This 253-nucleotide ribosomal RNA is filed under the name uncultured bacterium. RNAcentral describes it as "partial 16S ribosomal RNA". It matches the Rfam family "Bacterial small subunit ribosomal RNA", at positions 524 to 776 of the family's 1533-position model. The record is from RNAcentral.